UUUCUCUUUAUGCUCUCUUCCACACAGGAGAAAGCUGAGCAAGGUCCACAUGCCUCCACCCGCAUCACUUGGGAGGCUGAGGCAGGAGGA
Molecule: microRNA precursor, 90 nt
Filed under: Mesocricetus auratus (golden hamster)
Lineage: Eukaryota; Metazoa; Chordata; Mammalia; Rodentia; Cricetidae
Description: miRNA (ENSMAUG00000003526.1)
Source: RNAcentral